AUGCAAGUCGAGCGGUAGAGAGAAGCUUGCUUCUCUUGAGAGCGGCGGACGGGUGAGUAAUGCCUAGGAAUCUGCCUGGUAGUGGGGGAUAACGUUCGGAAACGGACGCUAAUACCGCAUACGUCCUACGGGAGAAAGCAGGGGACCUUCGGGCCUUGCGCUAUCAGAUGAGCCUAGGUCGGAUUAGCUAGUUGGUGAGGUAAUGGCUCACCAAGGCGACGAUCCGUAACUGGUCUGAGAGGAUGAUCAGUCACACUGGAACUGAGACACGGUCCAGACUCCUACGGGAGGCAGCAGUGGGGAAUAUUGGACAAUGGGCGAAAGCCUGAUCCAGCCAUGCCGCGUGUGUGAAGAAGGUCUUCGGAUUGUAAAGCACUUUAAGUUGGGAGGAAGGGCAUUAACCUAAUACGUUAGUGUUUUGACGUUACCGACAGAAUAAGCACCGGCUAACUCUGUGCCAGCAGCCGCGGUAAUACAGAGGGUGCAAGCGUUAAUCGGAAUUACUGGGCGUAAAGCGCGCGUAGGUGGUUCGUUAAGUUGGAUGUGAAAUCCCCGGGCUCAACCUGGAAACUGCAUUCAAAACUGUCGAGCUAGAGUAUGGU
Molecule: ribosomal RNA, 602 nt
Filed under: uncultured bacterium
Lineage: Bacteria
Description: bacterial SSU rRNA
Rfam family: Bacterial small subunit ribosomal RNA
Source: RNAcentral